RNAcentral lists this transfer RNA (65 nucleotides) under Eryx conicus (Rough-tailed sand Boa). RNAcentral describes it as "tRNA-Val". Lineage: Eukaryota; Metazoa; Chordata; Lepidosauria; Squamata; Erycidae. The record is from RNAcentral.
CAAAAAGUAGCUUACAACAAAGCAUUCGACCUACAAUCGAAAGACAUUAACACAAAUCUUUUUGA